This 350-nucleotide ribosomal RNA is filed under the name uncultured bacterium. RNAcentral's name for it is "bacterial SSU rRNA". It matches the Rfam family "Bacterial small subunit ribosomal RNA", at positions 355 to 702 of the family's 1533-position model. The record is from RNAcentral.
UGAGGAAUAUUGGACAAUGGGCGAGAGCCUGAUCCAGCCAUGCCGCGUGCAGGAAGACUGCCCUAUGGGUUGUAAACUGCUUUUAUACAGGAAGAAUAAGCCUUACGUGUAAGGUGAUGACGGUACUGUAAGAAUAAGGACCGGCUAACUCCGUGCCAGCAGCCGCGGUAAUACGGAGGGUCCGAGCGUUAUCCGGAAUUAUUGGGUUUAAAGGGUCCGUAGGCGGAUGAUUAAGUCAGGGGUGAAAGUUUGCAGCUCAACUGUAAAAUUGCCUUUGAUACUGGUUAUCUUGAGUUGUAUUGAAGUAGGCGGAAUAUGUAGUGUAGCGGUGAAAUGCAUAGAUAUUACAU